Molecule: long non-coding RNA, 2384 nt
Organism: Canis lupus familiaris (dog)
Lineage: Eukaryota; Metazoa; Chordata; Mammalia; Carnivora; Canidae
Exons: 3
Source: RefSeq, a predicted model, not a curated record
UUCCUGGCUGCCAUGGAAGCAGGGCAUUGACUCAGCCAGCCAUCAUGUCCCUUGGUGCCUUGUGCUUUGGGGAGGCAUAUCCAACAGGAGAGACUCCCACUUACCCUCCAGCCAUGUGGGAGCUGGCAGGAGCCUGGCAGGCAGGAGCCCCAUCUGCAGCUGCUGUGCCGAACAUGAUCUUCACUAGAACAAAUUAACAUAAUUGCACAUAAUAUGUGGCCACUGAGCCAAUGAGUGUAUUCUUUCCCAUCCCUACCAAAAAGAGGAUCAGAACAGUCGAUUCAUUCGGAACAGACAACGUAUACGUUUACAGUCUUGCCCCAAGGCUAUGUUAAUGCUCCUGCUCCUGGCAUAAUACAAUCCCUAGAGACCUGGACUGGCUGGGUAAUGAUGACAUCAUGCUCACUGGACCAGCUAAGCAAGCAGUGACUAGUGCAUUAGAGACCUCCGUAACACACGAUCCCAGAGAACAGGAGGAAGACACCGACGAUUCAGAGGUCUGCACUGUCAGCAACAUUUUUAGGAGUCUGGUGAUCUGGGGAAUGCUGAGACAUCCCCCCCACAGUAAAGGAUAUGUUACUGGCUCUUGCACUUCCCAUCACAGAGAAGGAAGUCCAACACCUGGCAAGCCUCUGAGAUCUACAGGUCUUCAACUGGCACCGGCAUCCAAGGGCUCCGUGUUCAGUCUACCAGCACAGAGGCCUGCAGACCAAGGGAUCCAUAUUACAGUGAAAGAGGUGCCAGAGGAGGUACGUGACCAUGACACCUGUACCAGACCACCCCGUCAGGGGGAGAGCUGAUGAGGCCCGGCUGAAGCAUCACCGUGGAGGCGGUUGUGAGGAUGGCAACAGACCUUUUCUACCUGGUACUCAAGAGCUGGGAGUCAGAAAGACUCUGCUCACCACCACUCCCCGUGACCCACUUGGGGGGUCUGUGCCGCCUGUCUGUGUAGCUGAGAAGGCCUGGUUUCAAAAGAAGUGUUUCCACCAAGGGACCCAAAGAAAGUCCUUCUUCACUCUGAGCUCGGGCUGCUGUUUGGCAGGCCCAGGCGCUGUGUGCCAAACGCACAGCAGACAUCACGUCAGCACUGGAAACGCACGUGUGUCAGCAAGAGGAGGCAGGAUGCUCUGACACAUUGGGGGCAAGAGUGAACACGUCCGGCACACAGGCGACCCAUCUGGGCAAGCCCUGGCUUUCCCUCGCCCAAUGUUGACAGCUAAUGGACAAGAAUAGCAGCUAUGGCUGAGAAGGGCACCGUGACAAGGGAGACGAUCUCCCUGAGAUAAAGGCCUGGGUCUCCCUGCCAGGUAAGCCACCUGGAGCAGCAGACGUGCCACUUGUGGGUAAGGAGAAUCUAGGCUGGAUAGAAGGCCACUUCUAGUUCCAAGACAGUCGGCAAUGUCAAGAACUGGAGCUGCUCCCCAGAACCUUCUUCCUAGAAGUUUCUCCAGCAGAAGCCCCUGGGAUUCUGGACGACCUGCUCUCCAAACUUCAAUGAUGGAACAGCUCUGAGCACAUGGAGAUAGAUUAUAACAGACACUGUGAUCGCCAUCGGGAUGGAUGGCCUUAUUCCCCCAAAUAUUUGUGGGGCCACCGGUACACAGCUAGUGGGUGGAAUCAGGGAUGGCAUGGCCUGGCCCCUCAUCCUAGCUCAGGACAGCUCUGAAAGGCCUGCCAGCUUCAGAGCCCCCUUCGGGUUGCCGAUGGCUUCGUGGGUCUGUCUCCUUCCCACCGUGGGAUACAGCCCCAGACACUCCGCAAUAAGUGGCCUGCAUGCUGACUCCAGCUCCGGACCGGCCUCCAGGACCCCGCCUGUGAUGGGGCGUCUGAGCAGAUCCAAAGGGAGCAAAGGGACAGCUAGUCCAAGAGCCCUAGGGCAGGGCCAGGACGUCCGUGUGGUCAGAGCCGCAGAAGCCAGAGUGGCUGUAGCGGAGGGAGCGAAUGGGCAGAGCAGGAACAGGAAACCAGGCGGAUACGCAGGACCCCAGAGGUCACCACUGGGAUUCGGCUCUGCACUCAGAGUGGCACCACUCCAUGCGUUUUGACAGGAAAAGUAACACAGUCUAAAAGAACCGUUGAGGCUGCUGUCUUUGGGGUGAGGCUGGUCCCCAGGAGACUGGCCGAGAGGGUCCUUCAGAGACCCAGGGGAGGCAGGACGGUGGCUCAGACCAGUGUGGCAGUGUGGAGUCAACAGGUGUCUGGGGCAUCAGAUACAGGGUACACCAGAAAGAAAAAUAAUCAAACCAACAGAAAUUCCUGCCACUGUGCUCUCAGAUAAUUGUUAUUUACAUUUUCUUGAUUUUGGUUUCCAGAUAGCAUUAUUAAAAAGUUCACAUAAUGUGUUUACACAAAUCUAUUAUUUUAAAUAAAUCUUGAACAUCUUU